RNAcentral lists this transfer RNA (69 nucleotides) under Marmota monax (woodchuck). RNAcentral's name for it is "tRNA.Undet". The record is from RNAcentral. Lineage: Eukaryota; Metazoa; Chordata; Mammalia; Rodentia; Sciuridae.
GGGAUGUAGCUCAGUGGUAGUGUGCUUGCCUAGCCUGCGCAAAGUCCUGGGUUUGAUUCCCAGCACUCA